Molecule: ribosomal RNA, 482 nt
Filed under: uncultured bacterium
Lineage: Bacteria
Description: partial 16S ribosomal RNA
Rfam family: Bacterial small subunit ribosomal RNA
Source: RNAcentral
GACGAACGCUGGCGGCGUGCCUAACACAUGCAAGUCGAACGGAACUGUUUUGACAGAUUUCUUCGGAAUGAAUUUGCUCUAGUUUAGUGGCGGACGGGUGAGUAACGCGUGAGUAACUUGCCUUCAAGAGGGGAAUAACAUUCUGCAAAGAAUACUAAUACCGCAUGACAUACCGGAACCACAUGGUUUUGAUAUCAAAGAUUUUAUCGCCUGAAGAUGGACUCGCGUCCGUUUCGUUAGUUGGCUAGAGAACGGCUCACCAAGACUGCGAUCGGUAGCCGGACGGAGAGGUUGAACGGCCACAUCGAGACGGAAACACGGCCCAGACUCCUACGAGAGGCAGCAGUGGGGGAUAAUGCGAAAUGGGGGCAACUCUGACGCAGCAACGCCGCGUGAAGAAUGAAGGUUUUCGGAUUGUAAACUUCUUUUAUUAAGGACGAAAAAUGACGGUACUUAAUGAAUAAGCUCCGGCUAACUACGUG